CCUACGGGAGGCAGCAGUGGGGAAUAUUGCACAAUGGGGGAAACCCUGAUGCAGCAACGCCGCGUGAGUGAUGACGGCCUUCGGGUUGUAAAGCUCUGUCUUCAGGGACGAUAAUGACGGUACCUGAGGAGUAACGCAUGGCUAACUACGUGCCAGCAGCCGCGGUAAUACGUAGGUGGCGAGCGUUGUCCGGAUUUACUGGGCGUAAAGGGAGCGGAGGCGGACUUUUAAGUGAGAUGUGAAAUCCUCGGGCUCAACCUGAGUGCUGCAUUUCAAACUGUAAGUCUAGAGUGCAGGAGAGGAGAAUGGAAUUCCUGGUGUAGCGGUGAAAUGCGUAGAGAUUAGGAAGAACACCAGUGGCGAAGGCGAUUCUCUGGAC
This 379-nucleotide ribosomal RNA is filed under the name uncultured bacterium. RNAcentral describes it as "partial 16S ribosomal RNA". It matches the Rfam family "Bacterial small subunit ribosomal RNA", at positions 338 to 734 of the family's 1533-position model. The record is from RNAcentral.